GGAAUAGGGCUGAGGAAGAGAUACAGUAUCAGACCAUCUUCUUGGUGUCUUUCAAAAGGAAGUACGGUAUGGAAGGAAGCAAAACCAGUCCAAGAGUAGAGAUUUGGCCUUCGUCACUGCCUGGUGAUCUUGGUCUCUCAGGGGGAAGGACUUGAAAGAGCAACAUGAGCAGAAAGUGUGUGAGAGGGAGAUGCAACGAAUCACCCUGCCCCUGUCUGCCUUCACCAACCCCACCUGUGAGAUCAUGGACGAAAAGACCAUCAUUGUGCACAGCAACCAGACUCCUGCUGAUGUGCAGGAGGGCAGCACCCUCCUCACUGACCAGGCUGGCACCCCCGGGGCCUGAGCCCCUGCAGUGGGCAGGUGCCCACAUAGACACUGGUACAGGACAAGCCACCCUCCUGCAGUUGGGAGGAGCUACAUUUUGUGUUGUGGUUAAAACCUUAUCCCAUUUUUCUUUCGGGGGGAAUGUGACUCCUCAUGACACAAGAAGCAGCAGGUAGCAUCAAGGGCGAGGCUGGGGAGGGUCCUAUCAAUGCUCCUUUUCUAUCCCUUAGAGCAGGAUUUGCCUGCGGAGAGAGACUGGCACAGCGGCCACAGUGGUGCUGUGGCAAAUAAGGGCUUCCACAUUGCCUGGGCCAGGGAGACAGGGAGCUCGCUAAGGCUCCUCUGUGCUAUAAACUGAAGGUGGUCUCAGUCUCUGCCUUUGCCAUCCAGGAACUUGAGUGGCAUAUA
Molecule: long non-coding RNA, 735 nt
Filed under: Rattus norvegicus (Norway rat)
Lineage: Eukaryota; Metazoa; Chordata; Mammalia; Rodentia; Muridae
Description: long non-coding RNA NONRATT009515
Source: RNAcentral